Aplysia californica (California sea hare) is the source of this 1330-nucleotide long non-coding RNA. RefSeq lists it as uncharacterized. The record is from RefSeq and is a predicted model, not a curated record. The transcript is spliced from 2 exons. NCBI's taxonomy places the organism in Eukaryota, Metazoa, Mollusca, Gastropoda, Aplysiida, Aplysiidae.
ACCUAGCCCAGUGCCACACGUCACCAUCCUACACUGCCACCUUUAUGAACUCUUGUCUAUGAACAUUGCUGGAAGGAAGCCCCGGUCCUUCGAAGUAACUUGGUCACAAAGUAUACCUUGCUCAGCUGAGCGAAUCGGCAUUGAUUGUUCACGCUUGCGACUGCUAGUGCUAGAUUGGCGAGAUAUUUAUACCUCUACGUAUUUGUUAAAACUGACAGUUCCACCUGCCUUUGAAUGGGCUUUCAGUGUGCGAGACUCUUUCGUUGGAGUUGGAGUCUACCAGUCAGCUGCGCUGGAUACUGGCAAUACUAGUGGAAUAAAGUGAUCCCAAACCCUCUCCUCUUCUUCGGAAGUGAUACGUGCUCCUCCGUCAUCUUGGGCAUCUCUCGGGGAUGAGUGGUGAGUACUUAGUAGUACACAUUUAUAACUUGCUCCAUUCAUCGCAUCCUCAUUCUCCCCUCCCGUAUCUGUGUGUUGUUUUUUCUUUACUGCUCCCAAUAAGAUGUCGGACUCGUAACUGAAGGGCCCUGAGUUUGAAUCUCGUCUGGGGCCGGACAUAGUGUUCUUUGGAAAGAUACUUUGUACCACGGGACGACGUGUUCAAAGAAAACAACUGUCAAGGCACCCCGGAAAUAUCAACUUCUCUAACAUCAAUAGCUUGAGCGUCCUUGAAACCUUUUGUUUUGUGUGUUUUGUCAGUUUGCUAGCGCGAUUGAGGGCGCAAAGGGGCUAUCGUGGCACAAGCCGAUCGCGCCCGACUCGUCGCCUCAAAAUCAAACCCGUUUGUUUUCCGGCGACGAGUGGGACGAUCGCCCCCGACCCAACACAGAUCCUAUCCGCAAUGAGCAUCCUGCAUAAUGCUAUCAGGUAUUUGGCAGGUGUCAUGGUAAUUUUAAACUGAUUUCACUUCCUCAACCGUUCUAUAAACAGAGAGUCAGACUCAGGGUUGCGUCCUUAAAGAACAGAUGACGUUCAUAAAGUGAUAUGUCGUUGAAGUUUUGCCUGCGACUUUUGAGAAGACAGCCAACCAAUAAUAGACCAAAACAAAUGGAUCGGAGGGAAACAGAACUUGUUGUUGGGUUGACUGACAAACGUUUGCUGACUGAGAGCACACGCUCACACAAGUGGAAAGAAAAGAAAAAGUCUUUUGGUUUAAAAAAGCAACGACAGUAACUACAAAAACCCAACCUGUUAAAGAAACGCUAUUUGUUAUGGCGCUCACUAUGUAGGCCUACUGUUUCUAACUUGAGCCGUAUUGGUCUGAGUCAGAUUCAUUACCGCUCCUCAUUUUUCUGUUUAAAAAGCCAAACAAAAUCAAACUAACAAAAAA